CUUGAGUCCAACCUGGCU
This 18-nucleotide small nuclear RNA is filed under the name Arabidopsis thaliana (thale cress). RNAcentral's name for it is "snRNA_08972". Lineage: Eukaryota; Viridiplantae; Streptophyta; Magnoliopsida; Brassicales; Brassicaceae. The record is from RNAcentral.